This is a long non-coding RNA of Solea senegalensis (Senegalese sole), 179 nucleotides long. RefSeq lists it as uncharacterized. The record is from RefSeq and is a predicted model, not a curated record. NCBI's taxonomy places the organism in Eukaryota, Metazoa, Chordata, Actinopteri, Pleuronectiformes, Soleidae. The transcript has 2 exons.
GCGACUGUGAGAGCUGCCUGAAGAUGUGUCAUUCUUUGAUGAUGUCAUCAGUGAGAGCCCUCAGCUGAAUCAAGGCAUGGUCAGAGCUGCUGCGUUCUGCUCACGAUAAAGUGGGUCUUUAACGGCAUUGUCGUUUUACCCGACUCCAUAUGACCUCAAUAAAGGAGUACAAGUUUCAA